UACGAAGGGGGCUAGCGUUGUUCGGAUUUACUGGGCGUAAAGCGCACGUAGGCGGAUCGUUAAGUCGGGGGUGAAAUCCUGGAGCUCAACUCCAGAACUGCCUUCGAUACUGGCGAUCUCGAGUCCGGAAGAGGUGAGUGGAACUCCUAGUGUAGAGGUGGAAUUCGUAGAUAUCAGGAGGAACACCGGUGGCGAAGGCGGCUUGCUGGGCCUUACCUGACGCUGAGGAGCGAAAGCGUGGGGAGCGAACAGG
RNAcentral lists this ribosomal RNA (253 nucleotides) under uncultured bacterium. RNAcentral's name for it is "partial 16S ribosomal RNA". It matches the Rfam family "Bacterial small subunit ribosomal RNA", at positions 524 to 776 of the family's 1533-position model. The record is from RNAcentral.